GAAGUGCUUCGGUCAGGCAGUAUCUUUGAAAAUAAUUUGGCCAAUGAAAGCCCUGGCAUUGGAUGAAAGUGCUAGCUGCUGGGAAUGCUACCCCUCCUUUUGGUUCUCUUUCAAGUCCUUCAGGUUCAAACAAUACAGAAGUGUAUAAAGUAAGAAUUGGAAGUCUCUUCGCUGCUCUAAUCUCACUCCUCAGAGGUGAUCACUGUGUGGAAGAUGAUCAAAGUAUGACAUUUCUUCUACCCCAGAGGCUGGCAUUUCUGCAGGCACAAAUGAGCUUGGUUUUCAAGCACUGCUCUUUGAACACAAGGAAUUCCUUUAAUGAUCACGCCGGACUAUAUAGACUUUGGAAUCAGACUCUUUGAAUUCCAGCUCUGCCAUUUACCAACUUUGACACUUUGGACAACGUCUCAUUCUGUCACCCAGGCUGGAGUGCAAUGGCACAAUUAUAGCUCACUGCAGCCUCAAACACCUGGGCUCAAGCAAUCCUUCCACCUCUGCCUCCUGAGUAAUUGGGACUACAGGCAUGUGCCACCACACCCAGCUAAUUUUUAAUUUUUAAUUUUUUUGUAGAGAUGGCGGUCUUGCUAUGUCACCCAGGCUGGUCUUGAACACCUGGCCUCAAGUGAUCCUCCGGCCUUGGUCUCUCAAAGCUCUGGGAUUACAGACAUGAGCCACUGCACCCGGCUCUAUCUCCCCUUCCUAUGUGUGUUAGCUCUAGAACAAGAGAAGCCUUGUUGAGAUUCCUGGCUGCCCACCCCCCAUCACCUCUCUGACUUUGGGCAAGUUGCCUGGCCUCUCUCAGCCUUUAUUUUCUUUUUGUGAAAUGGGGAUAAUAAUAGUACUUGCCUCAUAGGCAAAAUGUUGUGAGAACUAAACGAGAAAAUGCAUGUAAAGCACUUGGCACUUAGUUCUUUUUAUGAUUAUAAUGAUAAUCAGACACAAUAAAUUAUGUCUCACAUCACAUGCUGUUUAGCCUAUUCACUGUUCUAUUUUUCCUGAAGUCAGUUCAGUGUGUAGCAUCCAGAAUUGAACAAAACACCCCCGAUGUGACCUGAUAGUGCAAAGUAAACUAUCAUCUCCUUCAUUCUAGGUAUUAUGUUUCUAUUAAUGCAGUCUAAAGGUAGGAUAUGAGUUGUUUUGUUUAUGUAUCUUUUUUUUUUUUUUUUC
This 1167-nucleotide long non-coding RNA is filed under the name Homo sapiens (human). RNAcentral's name for it is "HSALNT0295403". The record is from RNAcentral. Lineage: Eukaryota; Metazoa; Chordata; Mammalia; Primates; Hominidae.